AGAGUUGCUAAAAUAAAGAAAGGGAUAAUGUUUGCAGAAACCCAAAUUAUUACAUUUAGUCAUGGAUAUAUUCAAGAUGGAAAUUACUGUAUUUCCAGAUAAUCAGAUGAAUUAAGUUUGAUAAUGCCCUUCUAAUAGACUUAUUGUUCCCACUGAUUCUAAUUUUUUUAAGAUGGAGGUUGCUAGAGUUAUGAAGGAGAAUAUAUGAUGCUCUGCCCACAAGAGCAGGCAACAACUCCUCUUGGUGGCCUAGGACACUCUCUAGAAUUGACAUUGUUUGGCAAGUGUCAGUGUUCUGACUGGAUUCUCUCCCUGGCUCUCAGCAUCACAUCUCCCCAGCCUCAGAUUUGGCUCACCUUGUAAAGAAGAUGAAUAUGUUCACUUCAAAGGCAGUUACAUAUGAAGUUUAGUUAACAAGCUUUAAGUGAGAGUGUGGGAGAAAACUGGGAGAAAAAAUCAUGGCAAGACAAGCCCAAAACUCAUGUUUGAGCUACUGUGUGGCAAUGACUGCCAUUUUGUGGCCAAAGGCACGGAGACUGUUGCUCCAGGAACAGCAAGAGAUCUUUAAAGACCCACUAGUCAUUUGGGGAGGCCUGGGGAGAGCAGGAAAUGGAAUUUGGCACUGCGGCAUCAAGACUUGAAUAGAGCUGCUCAAGAGAGACCAUAUAAACACCCCUGAGCAAAUUGAACCACUAUUUUAGUCUUUCUAACAUUUUAAUCACUUCAAAAAAUUCCACAGCCAUAGACCCAGGUAUGCAUUUACGACAGCUCUAUUAAACUGAUGAAGAAAGAGGAGUUGCUUCUUGGAUUUGUUUUUCCCACUUAGGUCACGUUUACUAACACCUCUCGAAUGAGCCUUUAGUUAAAUCCAUGAUAUAGCAUCUAGUUUAAGGUGGUACCUCGCUUAGCAUCACACUAUGCAUGUUUAUCUUUUUGCUGUGAUACUGGGGAAGGCAAAAUGAUAUCACACUUGUUAUACACAAAACACGGCUCCUCUAAUUUUUAAAUGAACUUUCUUUCACAACCUCCUAUGCGAUAAACCUUUUAAAAUUGACUGUAGUUCUCCUGCACACUAAACCCUAGCAGGGUUUGCUGAUCCAGUGCAAGAUCAAACACAAAGUACUCUGAUCAGAGGCAUGUCAAAAUAUUAAAGAACACAGUGACAGCUUGUACCGCUUUAUCAGUUAAAACCACAUUAUACAUCAACCACAACCUGUCUGGCUUGCGCAUUUGAUUAAGUUUCCUAUUCAGCAGUGACUCAUUCGUAUUCCAUGCUUGUCUGAAUGACAAAUUGAACAUUGUGUUGUACUGCUACAAGAUGUGUUAAUAAACAGUGGUGGAAAGGCUUGAUCUGAAAGGUGCCGCACCAAUGCCACUGCUAGAACAGCGGUUGAUCUCAAAGCUGCAAAGCAUUGCUCGCUGCAUUUUGAGCCAGCGGCUCGCACCUACAACCAGGAACCUUCUCAAAGGAUUGGCAGAAGUGGUCUGGCUAUACAGGAGAGCGCAAGAGUGCACACAAUAUGCUUUUUGAGUACAACGUGGCUACUGCAAGCAUGGUAAUCUGCUGAAGGCAUCCUCCAUUCCUCCUAGCUGUUAAUGGCUGCAGAGUAAAGCCCCACUCUUUCCCUCUUCCCACUCCCUAUAAGAAACAAAAUGCCAAGCUUCGUGGCAGACUGGAGUUGGAAAAAUUAAUUCUCUUUCUCAGGCAGAAAGAUGGAGUCACCUCCAUAGGUGACAUGUGUCACCUAUUUUCUGUGUGGUUUCCUUAUGUUUCAAAGAAAAAAAAAGAAGCCCUAAAAAUGAGGCAGCUUCCAGCCAGUGGAAGCAGUGAAAGAUACUCCACCUGUUCUACCUGCUCUGCUAUGUGGUUUGGCAACUAUGCCCCUUUACUCGCAGUCACUAACUACACAUAUAAAGCAAACUUUCUUUUUUAAGAAGUGUUUAUUGAGAAGAGGGGUCUUCCAGCUGGCUAGAGCUACUGUAGACAUCUACAGCUCCCACCGAGGAGGUGGCAGAAAAUACAUGACAUGAAAUUACCGUUCUCUGUCUGCUUGGAGUGCUUCUUCCAGAUACAGGACUCACUGAGCCCGAUGUGUCUAAUUCAUCAGCAGAGGACCAUGAGGACAAUUCCUAAAGUUCAGAAGGAAUGGAGCUCAGAAAGACAGCAACUAGCUGUUCAGACAGUCCUUGCCUUCAGCAUUGACUAGCAACUGGCGGGACAUAUCUUGCAGUGAUGCCACCUUCAACUGAGACUCCAGCAGUUCACGUCUGAUUUGCUGUUGCCAAGAUCCUUGAUGAGAAGACAAAGUGGGACGGGGGAAGAAAAGAUGGAAAUCGGUAAAACGCGUGUCUUUCAGAAGAACCAAGCAGAGAAGGCACCACAAGAAUGCAAUGAUUUGCCAUCAGCAGCUGCACCGUGACACUCUCUUUACUCCGGAUAUGAGAUUUCUGUGCUCACUCUGUGACUCUGCAAAUGUUCACUCUUUAACAUCUACUAAAAUUUUACUGUGAGCACAACUAAAACAAGCCAAUUAAACUUGUAAAGCCUUAAAA
Long non-coding RNA from Calidris pugnax (ruff), 2553 nucleotides. RefSeq lists it as uncharacterized. The transcript is spliced from 4 exons. NCBI's taxonomy places the organism in Eukaryota, Metazoa, Chordata, Aves, Charadriiformes, Scolopacidae. The record is from RefSeq and is a predicted model, not a curated record.